This 252-nucleotide ribosomal RNA is filed under the name uncultured bacterium. RNAcentral describes it as "partial 16S ribosomal RNA". It matches the Rfam family "Bacterial small subunit ribosomal RNA", at positions 524 to 776 of the family's 1533-position model. The record is from RNAcentral.
UACGGAGGAUGCGAGCGUUAUCCGGAUUUAUUGGGUUUAAAGGGUGCGUAGGCGGGAUGCCAAGUCAGCGGUAAAAAUGCGGUGCUCAACGCCGUCGAGCCGUUGAAACUGGCGUUCUUGAGUGGGCGAGAAGUAUGCGGAAUGCGUGGUGUAGCGGUGAAAUGCAUAGAUAUCACGCAGAGCUCCGAUUGCGAAGGCAGCAUACCGGCGCCCUACUGACGCUGGGGCACGAAAGCGUGGGUAUCGAACAGG